This 1915-nucleotide unclassified non-coding RNA is filed under the name Hevea brasiliensis (rubber tree). Lineage: Eukaryota; Viridiplantae; Streptophyta; Magnoliopsida; Malpighiales; Euphorbiaceae. The record is from RNAcentral.
AAUUACGUCUCAAUCCCAAUAAUGGCUCGAGAAGAACAUCUUCUAUCAACGGAGAUUGUGAACCGAGGGAUAUCGGAUGAGGGAUCACAAACGUUCUCCGUUAGGGUACGGAGGCGUUUGCCGGAUUUCUUGCAAUCGGUUAACUUAAAAUAUGUGAAGUUAGGGUACCAUUACUUGAUAAAACAUGGGAUAUAUUUGGCUAUAUUGCCAGUGUUGGUGUUGGUUUUCAGUGCUGAAAUUGGGAGUCUAAGUAGAGAGGAGCUGUGGAGGAGAGUUUGGGAUAGCACAACACGUUAUGAUUUGGCUACAGUGUUGUCAUUUGUGGCACUUUUUGUCUUCACUAUCUCUCUUUAUAUCAUGUCUAAGCCAAAACCUAUUUACCUUCUUGAUUUUGCAUGUUACAAGCCAAGUGAUGAUCUUAAGGUAACAAAGGAGCAAUUCAUCGAGUUAGCACGAAAUUCGGGCAAAUUCGAUGAAUCUAGUCUGGAAUUUAAAAAGAGAAUUCUAGAAUGUUCUGGAAUAGGGGACGAGAGUUACGUCCCGAGAUCCAUUGGAUCGUCAGAAAACACAGCUACGAUGAAAGAAGGACGAUACGAGGCAUCAACGGUGAUGUUCGGAGCUCUGGAUGAACUGUUCGAGAAGGCGAAAAUUCGGCCUAAGGACGUCGGAGUAUUGGUGGUGAAUUGCAGUAUUUUCAACCCAACACCAUCACUUUCAGCCAUGAUCAUAAAUCACUAUAAAAUGAGGGGAAAUAUACUUAGUUUCAAUUUAGGUGGAAUGGGUUGUAGCGCUGGGAUAAUAGCAUUAGAUUUGGCACGUGACAUGUUACAAGCUAACCCUAAUAAUUAUGCCAUCGUAGUUAGUGGUGAGAUGGUUGGAUAUAAUUGGUACCCUGGCAAACAGCGAUCGAUGCUUAUUCCAAAUUGCUUUUUUCGAAUGGGUUGCUCCGCCCUCCUCCUCUCCAAUCGUCGUCGCGAUUACCACCGUGCUAAGUACAGCCUCGAACAUAUCGUCAGGACACAUAAAGCUUCCAAUGAUCGCGCAUUCAGGUGCAUUUAUCAAGAAGAAGAUAGCGAGCAUUACAAGGGGCUAAAGAUAAGCAAAGAUUUAGUAGAAGUUGGAGGAGAUGCAUUGAAGACUAAUAUUACUACAUUAGGCCCUUUGGUUCUACCUUUAUCAGAACAAUUAUUCUUCUUUGGAAACUUAGUUUGGAGGCAUUUAUUUGGCAAUAAAAAUGCCAAAACAAAUAAUUCCCAGCAGGCCAAUAAUAUUAAGCCCUAUAUUCCAGACUACAAACUUGCCUUUGAGCACUUCUGUGUCUAUGCAGCCAGCAAAACUGUCCUUGAUGAGCUUCAAAGAAACCUAGAGUUGAGUGAGGAAAAUAUGGAAGCAUCUCGCGCUACACUCCAUCGAUUUGGUAACACGUCUAGUAGUAGCAUUUGGUACGAGUUGGCUUAUUUGGAGGCUAAGGAGAAAAUCAGAAGGGGUGAUCGUGUGUGGCAAAUUGCAUUUGGGUCGGGUUUUAAGUGUAACAGUGCUGUUUGGAAAGCUAUUCGUCGCGUUAAGAAGCCUUCAACGAACCCUUGGCUUGGUUGUGUUGAUAGGUAUCCAGAGUCUCUCACACAAUAAACGUGAGUUUAAUUUUAUGAUUAAUUUGGAGUUUGGGAGAUUCGAUGGGAAUUUAUGAAUGACUAUAUAAAUGUAUGUAUAGUCUAAAAGUAUUGAUAUUAUAAUUAAGUUAAGUUGAUUUAUGGAAAUUAAGGUACUUAUUUUAUUAGAAUAUUGACCUUGAUCACAUGGAUUGUUGAUGAAAUUUAAGUGUUCCAAGUUUAACAAACAUAUAUAGGUCCCUUCUUUAAUUUCUUGUCCUCCAUAAUUUGUGAAAUAAAUGUAUUAUGAAUAUUUUAUAUUGGUG